GGAUCUGUAGCUUAAAGUAAAGUGUUCGCUUGUCACGCGAAAGGAUGCCUGUUCGAUUCAGGUUAGAUUCG
This 71-nucleotide transfer RNA is filed under the name Geotrichum candidum. It matches the Rfam family "tRNA". Rfam says of the family: Transfer RNA (tRNA) molecules are approximately 80 nucleotides in length. Their secondary structure includes four short double-helical elements and three loops (D, anti-codon, and T loops). The record is from Rfam by way of RNAcentral. Lineage: Eukaryota; Fungi; Ascomycota; Dipodascomycetes; Dipodascales; Dipodascaceae.